This is a long non-coding RNA of Drosophila pseudoobscura, 445 nucleotides long. RefSeq lists it as uncharacterized. Lineage: Eukaryota; Metazoa; Arthropoda; Insecta; Diptera; Drosophilidae. The record is from RefSeq and is a predicted model, not a curated record. The transcript has 2 exons.
CUUUAUUGCAAGGAAUGGAUCUUAGUUCACCUUUUAUUGAUGUAACAAAUAAAUGUAUAUCAUAACGAGACAAGUUAUGAAAAACUACAGGGAAAAAGGGAUCGCUUAAUCUAAAUUUCUGUUUACCCAACUUAUGAAUAGGACCUACAUAUUGACCUGCAUAGCAAACGCCAUGUUCCUGGUAAUCCUCAUCCCAAAUGUUAAACUGGUAGAUUGGUUUUUUAUAGGACUUCCAGUACAUCUCAUAAAGUCCAUCGGUUUUCAUCCUAAGUGCUUUACAACAUUUUUGGAAACAAUCCGGUCCUGAAAUAACAAAAUCAUAAUGUUUAUGAGUUUAUUACCUUUGCUGGAUUGUGAAAAUAUUUACCACAUCUCAUUAAGGUGAGCAUUGUAUUUAUGUAAAAUAUAAAAUGCUGCACAUUCUGUAUGCCUCUGUACCUCUGUA